This 82-nucleotide transfer RNA is filed under the name Candidatus Pacebacteria bacterium RIFCSPHIGHO2_01_FULL_46_10. Its description in RNAcentral is "tRNA-Leu". It matches the Rfam family "tRNA". From Rfam's summary of the family: Transfer RNA (tRNA) molecules are approximately 80 nucleotides in length. RNAcentral also lists the same sequence under 1 other name. The record is from RNAcentral. Lineage: Bacteria; Bacillati; Minisyncoccota.
GCCCGGGUGGCGGAACUGGUAUACGCGCACGUUCGAGGGGCGUGUGGAGCAAUCCUUGGAGGUUCAAGUCCUCUCCCGGGCA